AAGACUAGAUGGAGUAUCCCUACAUAGCGGGUGGGACCCACGGCGAAUGGUUCAUCAAGUCUUCAAAAAAGAAUAUAUACGAUUGCAUUGCAUAUACUAACGGAUGCGAUCAUACCAGCACUAAUGCACCGGAUCCCAUUAGAACUCUGCAGUUAAGCGUGCUUGGGCGAGAGUAGUACUAGGAUGGGUGACCUCCCGGGAAGUCCUCGUGUUGCAUCCCUCUUUUAUGUUUAACCUUUUUU
This 242-nucleotide ribosomal RNA is filed under the name Arabidopsis thaliana (thale cress). The record is from RNAcentral. Lineage: Eukaryota; Viridiplantae; Streptophyta; Magnoliopsida; Brassicales; Brassicaceae.